This 174-nucleotide ribosomal RNA is filed under the name uncultured bacterium. RNAcentral describes it as "partial 16S ribosomal RNA". It matches the Rfam family "Bacterial small subunit ribosomal RNA", at positions 337 to 508 of the family's 1533-position model. The record is from RNAcentral.
UCCUACGGGAGGCAGCAGUGAGGAAUAUUGGUCAAUGGACGAGAGUCUGAACCAGCCAAGUAGCGUGCAGGAUGACGGCCCUAUGGGUUGUAAACUGCUUUUAUAGGGGGAUAAAGUGUGCCACGUGUGGCAUAUUGCAGGUACCCUAUGAAUAAGGACCGGCUAAUUCCGUGC